CAGACUCUGCAAUGACAGAAUGGAGAAUUCUGGCAUGUGUGCAGUGGCUGCUGAGGAGAAGGGAGAGGCAGAUGAGCAGCAUCCUGAGGAUAUACUAAAUGGAGAACUCUCUCGCUUCCCUAUGGCUACUUGUUCCUGAGCCAGCCUGGGAAUGGUGGCCCAAGGGUAAGUCAGGAGACUCUGAUGCAGCCAGAACUUGGGGAAAAUCCACACCCCACUCCUUGCUGUCACUUCUAGGUUGGCCAGACCCUGCCCAGAUUUCCUUGUCUUCAGCCCACACUUCCUGAAAAACAGCAGACCCACCAUGAUCUCGACCAUGACUGGACUUCUCUACCAGAGGGCUUCCCUCUGUGGGAAAUCUCAAGGUUCCAAGGAUCAGAUCCAUAAUUGUUGAGAACAAAAUAAAGUUUUUGCUGAAAUGUCAACAAGUCCAAGAAAA
This is a non-coding RNA of Marmota flaviventris (yellow-bellied marmot), 439 nucleotides long. The record is from RefSeq and is a predicted model, not a curated record. NCBI's taxonomy places the organism in Eukaryota, Metazoa, Chordata, Mammalia, Rodentia, Sciuridae.